This 305-nucleotide ribosomal RNA is filed under the name uncultured bacterium. RNAcentral describes it as "bacterial SSU rRNA". It matches the Rfam family "Bacterial small subunit ribosomal RNA", at positions 335 to 657 of the family's 1533-position model. The record is from RNAcentral.
GUCCUACGGGAGGCAGCAGUGGGGAAUAUUGCACAAUGGGGGAAACCCUGAUGCAGCGACGCCGCGUGAGCGAAGAAGUAUUUCGGUAUGUAAAGCUCUAUCAGCAGGGAAGAAAAAUGACGGUACCUGAGUAAGAAGCACCGGCUAAAUACGUGCCAGCAGCCGCGGUAAUACGUAGGGGGCAAGCGUUAUCCGGAUUUACUGGGUGUAAAGGGAGCGUAGACGGCAGCGCAAGUCUGGAGUGAAAUGCGGGGGCCCAACCCCGGAACUGCUCUGGAAACUGUGAAGCUGGAGUGCAGGAGAGG